Molecule: long non-coding RNA, 4166 nt
Filed under: Theobroma cacao (cacao)
Lineage: Eukaryota; Viridiplantae; Streptophyta; Magnoliopsida; Malvales; Malvaceae
Description: long non-coding RNA (TCAC_LNC000496)
Source: RNAcentral
UGAAGAGGAAAGGAAAGAACACAAACCCAAGGUGAGAAACUUGAAGAAAAAGUGUGGGAUUUCAAGGGAUUAAGCUAAUAAAGGUAAAAUUUUGUGAUUUUAUCUUGUGAUUUGCACUACCCAUGCUUUCUUUUUCAUUUUCCAUGCUUAGAACUCAAGUUUGCAUGAUGAACCCAUGUUGGCCGAAUUUGAGAGGAGAGGUUUUGAGCAUUGAUUUUGCUAGAUUUCAAGCUAAUUAAGUGUUUUUGGUUGUUUGGUAAUGGAAAGUAUGAAAAUCUAGCAAGGAAUCACUUUGUUCUUCACAAACCCACAAAAGGCCAAAUUUUCUAGGGAGGAUAUUGAGGCUGAAAUUUAUGAUAUUUCAUGAUAUUUUGGUGGUAUUUAAUGAUUGGUGAGGCUAGAAAUUUAAUGGGAAAUUUUGGCAUGAAAAUAUGAAUUAUUACGUAAUGUAUAGACAUGUGCGAUUUAUGGUUCGGACUGAUAAAUUGAAUCAUAUUCACAGUCAUUGAGGUAUUUUAAGUAUAAUUGGAGUGUAGAAAGUGAAAGAAAUCGAUUUGGAGUUAAAUUGGAGGUUUUAGCCAAUUAUACCGAGAAUAGUGCGAAUUAGGUCGAAUAUCGUAUUUAAACGACUAUUCGGACAUUUUGCAUCACAUUUCGUGCACUCAUAUAGAUUUAUAGAGCCUGAAAUAGUUUAUAAUAAAUUGACAUAAUUUAUUGAAAUUCGUGUCACGUAUGAUAUAUAGGUGGUGAGCCCUAUAACAAGGGUAAAGAGAUUGUACUCGAAGACUAGGAAUAGGAGUAUAUCGAACUCCUAGUACUGUGAGUAACCUUACUAUUAUCUUAAUUAUCUAAAGUAUGUUUUAUCCGAUUUUGUGAAUUUUAUGAAAAAUGAAUUAAAUGGUUAAUUUUUCGAUUUUAUAAACAAAAUGUGAUUUAGUGAAAUGAUUUCAUAAAAUUGUUUUAAAAUUGAAUAAUGGCUUUUCAAAUAGAGUAAUUGGAGACCAUUUGAUGUAUUGUGAAUUUAUUGUUCUAAUUGAUUGGCUUAUGACAAUAUUGGCAUGAAUGACUGAAUUGGUAUUUGUGUUGAAAUGUAUAAACUAUUGUUUGCCUUGAUAGGCUAGAUAAUGAUAAAAUUGCCAUAUCAUGUUGUUGAAUUUUUACUGUAUGGUGGGUUUAGCUUGCUGCAGUGGGCUAGUUCUGUGGACCAACCUAUUAGAGGGGCACGGAACCUUGUCAUAUAUAUGUACCUCGAUUGGAAAGGAACAUAGGGUAACUUCUGAGGUCAAACUUUAGAGUUCACUUUACGCCCAACCACUACUUGAGGGGAACUCGGCCAACGCUAAGGAACGGCUAUGUUUUCAAAACAAAAACAUGAUUUAUACGUACAUAACUUUUUAACAACCUUGGCAGACUAGGUUUAGGAUAGCCCUCAGCCAAGGUAUCCUUGAUGACUGAGAAUGACAAUGAUUUUGGCACGAGCCAAAGUUUUAAGAAAUUCAUAAGCCAUGUUAAUUACUCAAUUUAUAUGAAUUGAUUUUAUUUGGUUGAAACAAGUUGAAAGGUGAUGAAUUUCAAUAUGUUAAACUGUUUUAUCUGUCUCCAUUUACUCGACUUUAGAUGGUUUAGAUGGUAUCUAUUUACUCACUGGGAUUUUAUAAUCUCACCACCUUCCUUUUUAAUCAUUUCAGACCCGAGGUAGCCUAUGGAUAGUAGAUAUCGUAAAGGAUUAUAGUCGGCUUUACUACUCCAAAAACUGUAGGUUUACUGCCUUUGUGCACUUUUGUUCCUUGUGGGCCCAUCAGUCACUGUAAAGUAUAUUUCAUAUCCCGGCUAUCGAUAUUAUAAUAUGUAUGAAUUUAUUUAGGUUUUACAUUACAAAAAUUAUUUACCGAUGACUCUAUAAAUAUUGUUUUACAAGAAAUUAGAAUAUUUUAUUGAAUAUUUUAAUUUUAUUCAAAUAGUUGUAAUAUCAUUUUUAAUAAAUGUUUUAGACACCCAAAUUUAUUUUAAAUCAUGAAAUAUGUGUUUUCCACUCAUCUACUACAUUUUUAGUCGAGUUCGAAAAAUUUCGAGAAAAAAUGACGAAAACGCCCCUAUGAGGCGAAAAUUAUUUUUCCACGAUUUUGAAAGGGAAAAAGCUUAAAAUUCUUUAAAAAAGAGGUUUGGCGAUGAUUACUCAUAGGGGAGAUGAAAAAAAUGGUACUAAAGUCUUGCGGGGUUCCGGUUGGCACUCCGGGUAACGAAUGUCUACCAAGACGUCGCGGCGGUUGUCACGGGCUCUAGGGGAGUGUCGGGUCAUGACAAAUGAUACCAAUACCUUCAAUAUGGCCUGUUGAGUUUUCACCAAAGGUUACAUUUCCUUCUUUCUUUGGCCUUAAUUCCUUGAAAGACUCUUUGGUUCUGAUCAUGUGUCUAAAGCAUCCACUAUCAAAAUACCAUUGCUAUUUUUCUUGUGUUUUUGACUUUAAGCAAAUGAGCUCUUCCUACAAAGACAAAAUUCAAACAUUUGACUUUGGUACCCAAAUUUUCUUAAGUCUAUAUGAGUUAAUGUCUUUGGUUCCUUUUGAGAUCCACUCCAAUUUUAUUACCUUGCCAUGUGGAGGUUUGUUUCCUUUUAAAACCCAUACACUUUCGAUUUCCUUACUUUUAUAAGUGGUGGUUUUCAAAAGGCAAGAAUGAGUAGAAUGCCAAACUUUAUGACAAUAAAUACAUCAAAUAAAACAUUCAUAUUUUUUAUUUCCUUUAACGAAAAAAUUUUUAAAGCUAGUUUCCUUUGAGUACCAUCAUAGCCGAUUCCUUCUUUGUCAAAUAAUGCUCUUUGUUUUUCUAGAAUGUCAUUCAACUUUUAUUGACUCAUGUUGAAUUCUGAAAAUGUAAUCUGCAGGUUCUCUUUUUUUUUUCAACUCAUUCCUCUUAAUUUCCAAGUCCUUAACUACGUUCUCUAGUUCUAUCUUUGUCUUGACUAAAAAUUCAUUUUCUACUUUAAGUUGGAUAGAUAUUCUUGUAUUUCAAUGUAUUUUCUUCAAAUUCAAAUACUAAGUCAUCAUAUGCAUCUUGUAGUUCAUAAAAUGAAUAUGAGUCUUGGUCUAAAAUGUUGACUCCAUAUGUUUUUUAUGAUAACAAAACAUUCCUCAUUCAUUAAUGUUUAACUUCUCUAUUUAAAAGUGCAGGAUUUAAUUUUAUACCCUUAACAAAGUUGUUAGUUAAAGGCAAGUCAAUGAGCUUGCUAAGUUUAAUGAAGAGUUAACCAAUUAAUAAGGAAAGAGUAAGUAAUGAACAAAAACAAAACCUUAGUAACUGAUUAUCAAGGGACCUUAAUUAGCCAAGGCAUGGUUGUGUGAUAAGUCGAAGCAAAAUAGAAAUAUGGUAAUCGGUUAAGAGGUCUGGUUAAUCAGUUAGAGCAUAAGGUCCUAGUAUCUUCAAGCGCCAAAAACAAGUUUGAAAAUAUUGUUGAUCGUUGAAAGGAGCAAAAAUGGAAAAGUUCAAAAUUUGAAGAACUUCUAGCUGAUUAAAGGUGAUUUUAAUCGGAUGUGGUUGAAUGAAGUAAAGCUUCAAUCAGUUAAAGGAAGUGUUGACCAAUUAGAGGAAGACUGCUGCAUAGAGAAAUGAAAACAGAAAGUUUGUAAUCAAUUAGAGCCUACCAUAACCAAUUAGAGGAAGUCUGUUGAAUUAGAAAAGUCUAAAGAUAGAAAACUCUUAAUCAAUUAUAGCCUCUUGUAAUCGGUUAGAGCAGAGAUCAUAGUAACAGGACAAUGCAGACAGAAAGGCUGUAAUCAAUUAGAACUGCCUGUAAUCGGUUACUCGAAGUCUAUCUCCCUUUUUGAAUUUAAACACUAAAGGAUAAAAUAAUGGCUAGAAGUGCAUUAGAGUUGUUUUCAAUGGCUAAAAACUGUCUACAACAGAAAAAUCUGACUCCCUAAGUAUAAAAAAAAGCUUUAACUAUCAAAGAAGGAAGAUUUGAUGAGAGAAGAGCUACUUUGAGUAAAAAGAAAAAUAUUCUUCACCAAAAACACUUGUCUUUUAUUCCAUAUCUAGAAAAAGUGUUUAAACUUGAUUAUAAUUUAUACAUACUUGUAAAGGUACUUAGUUGUGCUUCCUUUUCUUAUUUCUCUUAGGAAAUUAGAGUGUGGGAAGCACUUUAAAGCCUGUUGUAAUGGAUUAGAGCU